This 510-nucleotide ribosomal RNA is filed under the name uncultured bacterium. Its description in RNAcentral is "partial 16S ribosomal RNA". It matches the Rfam family "Bacterial small subunit ribosomal RNA", at positions 28 to 507 of the family's 1533-position model. The record is from RNAcentral.
GACGAACGCUGGCGGCGUGCUUAACACAUGCAAGUCGAACGAAGAGCGAUGGAAGCUUGCUUCUAUCAAUCUUAGUGGCGAACGGGUGAGUAACGCGUAAUCAACCUGCCCUUCAGAGGGGGACAACAGUUGGAAACGACUGCUAAUACCGCAUACGAUCUAAUCUCGGCAUCGAGGAUAGAUGAAAGGUGGCCUCUACAUGUAAGCUAUCACUGAAGGAGGGGAUUGCGUCUGAUUAGCUAGUUGGAGGGGUAACGGCCCACCAAGGCGAUGAUCAGUAGCCGGUCUGGGAGGAUGGACGGCCACAUUGGGACUGGGACACGGCCCAGACUCCUACGGGAGGCAGCAGGGGGGAAUCUUCCGCAAUGGACGAAAGUCUGACGGAGCAACGCCGCGGGAGGGAUGACGGCCUUCGGGUUGUAAAGCUCUGUUAAUCGGGACGAAAGGCCUUCUUGCGAAUAGGGAGAAGGAUUGACGGUACCGGAAGAGAAAGCCACGGCUAACUACGUG